Molecule: small nuclear RNA, 106 nt
Organism: Nycticebus coucang (slow loris)
Lineage: Eukaryota; Metazoa; Chordata; Mammalia; Primates; Lorisidae
Source: RefSeq, a predicted model, not a curated record
GUGCUUGCUUCAGCAGCACAUACAUUAAAACUGGAAUGAUACAGAGAAGAUUAACAUGGCCCCUGUGCAAGGAUGACACACAAACUUGUGAGCAUUCCAUAUUUUA